UACGGAAGGUGCAAGCGUUAUCCGGUUUUAUUGGGUUUAAAGGGUGCGUAGGCGGCUUAUUAAGUCAGUUGUGAAAUCCUAGCGCUCAACGUUAGAAUGGCGAUUGAUACUGGUAGGCUUGAGUCAAGAAGAGGUAAGUAGAAUUUAUGGUGUAGUAGUGAAAUGCAUAGAUAUCAUAAGGAAUACCGAUAGCGUAGGCAGCUUACUGGUCUUGAGCUGACGCUGAGGCACGAAAGCGUGGGGAGCAAACAGG
This 253-nucleotide ribosomal RNA is filed under the name uncultured bacterium. RNAcentral describes it as "partial 16S ribosomal RNA". It matches the Rfam family "Bacterial small subunit ribosomal RNA", at positions 524 to 776 of the family's 1533-position model. The record is from RNAcentral.